This 445-nucleotide ribosomal RNA is filed under the name uncultured bacterium. Its description in RNAcentral is "bacterial SSU rRNA". It matches the Rfam family "Bacterial small subunit ribosomal RNA", at positions 329 to 792 of the family's 1533-position model. The record is from RNAcentral.
GUCCAGACUCCUACGGGAGGCAGCAGUAGGGAAUUUUGCGCAAUGGGGGAAACCCUGACGCAGCAACACCGCGUGAAUGUUAAGCCCUUCGGGGUGUAAAGUUCUGUCAAUAGGGACGAAUUUUGACUGUACCUAUAAAGGAAGCACCGGCUAACUCCGUGCCAGCAGCCGCGGUAAUACGGAGGAUGCGAGCGUUAUCCGGAUUUAUUGGGUUUAAAGGGUGCGUAGGCGGAGUGUCAAGUCAGCGGUAAAAUUUCGGGGCUCAACCCCGUCGUGCCGUUGAAACUGACGCCCUUGAGUGAGUGAGAAGUAAGCGGAAUGCGUGGUGUAGCGGUGAAAUGCAUAGAUAUCACGCAGAACGCCGAUUGCGAAGGCAGCUUACCGGCGCUCAACUGACGCUGAGGCACGAAAGUGCGGGUAUCGAACAGGAUUAGAUACCCGUGUA